UGAGCCCACAUGCUUGAGAAAAUUCUCCAAUUUGAUUUUUUUCCCCUAUCUUCAUCCGUGAUAAGUGGCUUUUUUUACUUGUUGGCACUGGACGUCUUUUUGUCACCCUGCAAAUUUCAUUGUUUAGAGUUAAGUAAGUAAACAGUUCAUCGAGAUCGAUCCUGAGAGGGACACCAAGGAUACACAAGGUUAAGUCCUCUCUAAAAGAACAGGAAACAUCGUCCAGAAAAGCUUACUUCAGUGAUCCCUCAUGUCUCCAGUCUACUAAUAACUAAUGGACUUUUAAUAGGACUUUAUAUACAUUCCUUUCCUCCCACAACAAAUAUGGAGUUCUCCGCAUCUGUCAUCCCAAACAAACAGCGAGGGUUGGGUUGCAAAGGCAUUCCUAACCACUCUGAACUCACUGGGUCAAACUGGGAAUCAAUAGAAUGACAUAGGCUGCUGUGGUUCUUGGGAAUUUCUGUGGAUUCAGAUACCAGAAAGCAUUCGUUUCCUAUGGGGUCAUAGGCCACAGUCCCUGUGUUAUUUAUCAUAAGAAUCAGGUCCAUCUCAAACAUCCCAGAUCGAGGUUUAUUGUUGAGUAUCCCUGAGUGGGACUGUCAGUCCUUACAGGGCUGCUCAGAGCACUGUGGAAAGUUCAUAGUCCAUAUGGGAUGGUCGACUGGUGGCUGCAGCUGUCUGUGACGGUCAGUCACCAUGUAAGUCACAGCUCCUGUAUUUUCCUCAUCUGGCCAUCAUUCACAUGCAAGCUUUGUGUUAACACGCACACGCACAUCCACAUACAUUUAUACUGUAACUGCUAUACAACUGUGAAUAAAAGGUGUCAUUUUAAUACCAGGAAAACUUUAUUCCAAGUCAAGCUCAACAUAAUAAAAACCUUACAAUGACAA
Betta splendens (Siamese fighting fish) is the source of this 890-nucleotide long non-coding RNA. RefSeq lists it as uncharacterized. Lineage: Eukaryota; Metazoa; Chordata; Actinopteri; Anabantiformes; Osphronemidae. The record is from RefSeq and is a predicted model, not a curated record. The transcript has 6 exons.